UGGUGGGGUGACUUGUCUGCUUAAUUGCGAUAACGAACGAGACCUUAACCUGCUAAAUAGCCCGCAUUGCUCCGGCAGUGCGCUGACUUCUUAGAGGGACUUUCGGCUCAAGCCGAAGGAAGUUUGAGGCAAUAACA
This 137-nucleotide ribosomal RNA is filed under the name uncultured eukaryote. Its description in RNAcentral is "partial 18S ribosomal RNA". It matches the Rfam family "Eukaryotic small subunit ribosomal RNA", at positions 1299 to 1458 of the family's 1831-position model. The record is from RNAcentral.